CCUACGGGGGGCUGCAGUGGGGAAUAUUGGACAAUGGGGGGAACCCUGAUCCAGCCAUGCCGCGUGUGUGAAGAAGGCCCUCGGGUUGUAAAGCACUUUCAGUGAGGAAGAACGCCUGGUGGUUAAUACCCAUCAGGAAAGACAUCACUCACAGAAGAAGCACCGGCUAACUCCGUGCCAGCAGCCGCGGUAAUACGGAGGGUGUGAGCGUUAAUCGGAAUUACUGGGCGUAAAGCGCGCGUAGGUGGCUUGAUAAGCCGGUUGUGAAAGCCCCGGGCUCAACCUGGGAACGGCAUCCGGAACUGUCAAGCUAGAGUGCAGGAGAGGAAGGUAGAAUUCCCGGUGUAGCGGUGAAAUGCGUAGAGAUCGGGAGGAAUACCAGUGGCGAAGGCGGCCUUCUGGACUGACACUGACACUGAGGUGCGAAAGCGUGGGUAGCAAACAGGAUUAGAUACCCCGGUAGUC
RNAcentral lists this ribosomal RNA (465 nucleotides) under Vreelandella stevensii. RNAcentral's name for it is "partial 16S ribosomal RNA". It matches the Rfam family "Bacterial small subunit ribosomal RNA", at positions 338 to 795 of the family's 1533-position model. Lineage: Bacteria; Pseudomonadati; Pseudomonadota; Gammaproteobacteria; Oceanospirillales; Halomonadaceae. The record is from RNAcentral.